AUGGUGAUUAAUGGCAGCAUGGGAUUUGUAGUCAAUAAGUAGUUGUGAUUGCUAAAUCGGAUCUGACGUUGGACUUCGAAAGGCCAUGUGCUCCACAACAACAGUGCUCGACCGAAAGCUUGUCUGCAGAAGCAGGAAGUCCCCAAAUGGAGGCACUGUUGAAAUCAAGAAGCUGACUCCUCAGAAAUGGAAAAGGGAGAGGAGGAAUCGGGGCUCGAACCCUCAACCUCAGCAUUCAAACCCCAUGUCAAUGCCACCACACCACCAUCAUGUCCGGGUUCUCAGUUGGUAAUUUCCAGUGCUCUACAGAGACAUUAUCAAUCGAAUGAGACUUACAGAUGAAGAGAGUCAAAAGGAGAGAGCUGGGCUCGAACUCUGUACCUCUGUAGCCAGAGGCGGAGACACUACCAUUAAGCCACGGUGGGAUUAACGAGUUUGGCGGUGAUUUUUUGGAUAGAAGAAGAUGAGCCUAGAGGGACAAAAAUAGGGAAGAGCUCUGAAUUAACCGAAUAACUCCGCAUCCAAAGACGACAAUUUUCACGACACAAUUAUCUUUGAUAUGGUUUUGGAGUCUCUGUGGGAGGAGGGGGCAGGGUUCAGGCGGUGGGGGGAAAGGAGAGGGAGGGAAAUUGAACUUACAUCCUUCUGCUUUGUGGAGCGAGGUCCUGUUCCCUGCACCACAGAGCUCAUCAAGGUUUAUACAGACAUAAACAGGAAGAGGUCAGCCUUGAGUCACAGAUCCAGAGCAGGUGCUCUCCCUCUUGAGCAGACAGGCAAGGCCAGACAAGAGAAGUCAUCAUGCGUAUAGCUUUAACACAAACACUUUCAUUAAAAACUCUAAUAUGUGUUUGCUUUCUUUAAAGUGUUUUAAAAUGUAAAACACGUAGAAUUAUGUCCCUAAAACACAAAGAAGAGACUGUGGCGAAAUAUAAACCCACAGCUUAUCGUAUGUAAGCUACUUUGUGAAGCUUUUGUUAUAUGUAAGGAAUGCUUGUGCUGUUGUUAUUUGUGUAUUGAACAAGUGAUUUGAAGUCCCAUCCAAUCAGAUGAUCUAAUUACUGGGGUAAAGGUGUGCCUGCGGGUAAUUGGUUGGUUUAAAAUGAUGCCUUUGAAUGUUUUCCUUCACCGUGAUUAAAAAUGAGAUGCUUAAGCUAGCCGGUACUACAUUUCUGAGAACACUGAUCUCCUCUGCUUUCAUGAAGUGCUGUGGAUGUGUGCUGGGGACAGGGCUUGUAAAUGCACAUUAUUUUUAUUUAAUGAAAGAUAACUCAGUGUAUGUUCUGCAGUUUCAUUAAUCUUUGAAAGAUGUGCUGUCAUUGCUCAAUAAAAAACACACAAUAAGAAGA
This is a long non-coding RNA of Anguilla rostrata (American eel), 1346 nucleotides long. RefSeq lists it as uncharacterized. The record is from RefSeq and is a predicted model, not a curated record. The transcript has 4 exons. Lineage: Eukaryota; Metazoa; Chordata; Actinopteri; Anguilliformes; Anguillidae.